Molecule: ribosomal RNA, 497 nt
Filed under: uncultured bacterium
Lineage: Bacteria
Description: partial 16S ribosomal RNA
Rfam family: Bacterial small subunit ribosomal RNA
Source: RNAcentral
GAUGAACGCUGGCGGCGUGCCUAAUACAUGCAAGUCGAGCGAACAGACGAGGAGCUUGCUCUUCUGACGUUAGCGGCGGACGGGUGAGUAACACGUGGAUAACAUACCUAUAUGACUGGGAUAAUUUCGGGAAACCACAUAUAAUACCGGAUAAUAUAUUUAACCGCAUGGUUCAAUAGUGCAAGACGGGUUUGCUGUCUCUUAUAGACGAAUCCGCGUCGCCUUAGCUAGUUGGUAAGGUAACGGCUUACCAAGGCGACGAUGCGUAGCCGGUCUGAGAGGAUGAUCGGCCACACUGGAACUGAGACACGGUCCAGACUCCUACGGGAGGCAGCAGUAGGGAAUAUUCGGCAAUGGGCGAAAGCCUGACCCAGCCACACCGCGUGGGUGAAGAAGGUCUUCGGGUUGUAAAGCUCUUUUAUUGGGGAAGAAAAGCCGCAGAUGAAAAUCUGCCUGUCCUGACGGUACCCAAACAAAAAGCAACGGCUAACUACGUG